Molecule: ribosomal RNA, 465 nt
Filed under: uncultured Klebsiella sp.
Lineage: Bacteria; Pseudomonadati; Pseudomonadota; Gammaproteobacteria; Enterobacterales; Enterobacteriaceae
Description: bacterial SSU rRNA
Rfam family: Bacterial small subunit ribosomal RNA
Source: RNAcentral
CCUACGGGCGGCUGCAGUGGGGAAUAUUGCACAAUGGGCGCAAGCCUGAUGCAGCCAUGCCGCGUGUGUGAAGAAGGCCUUCGGGUUGUAAAGCACUUUCAGCGGGGAGGAAGGCGUUAAGGUUAAUAACCUUGGCGAUUGACGUUACCCGCAGAAGAAGCACCGGCUAACUCCGCGCCAGCAGCCGCGGUAAUACGGAGGGUGCAAGCGUUAAUCGGAAUUACUGGGCGUAAAGCGCACGCAGGCGGUCUGUCAAGUCGGAUGUGAAAUCCCCGGGCUCAACCUGGGAACUGCAUUCGAAACUGGCAGGCUAGAGUCUUGUAGAGGGGGGUAGAAUUCCAGGUGUAGCGGUGAAAUGCGUAGAGAUCUGGAGGAAUACCGGUGGCGAAGGCGGCCCCCUGGACAAAGACUGACGCUCAGGUGCGAAAGCGUGGGGAGCAAACAGGAUUAGAUACCCUAGUAGUC